UUAAGGAGUACAACCCGGAGACCCUUAUCUUCUUCGUCCGCCUCCUCUCCAAUUUCAGGGUUCUUCUUUGUUUUCUUUGAUGUCUAACUUCAACAAUAGAGUUCUGAAAGAUUGAUAUGCUCAAAUGGAUGUGAAGAAUCUCUCUGUAGUGUAUCAAUCACGUCGUUUAAUCUUCCUUACAUCUCAAUCGAAACGUUUCCGAGUUACAGAUUCAUCGUCUUUAUCGCCUUAUUAACUUCAUCAACCACGAUUUAGCUUUCAAUGAAAGUUUCUCUUCUGCAACUCGGCCUAUCUGAGACUAUAAGAAGAGACAAAGAGGAGAAAGUGGCUUGAAGAUAACCCAUUAACAGCUACUAACGACAAGCCUUUUCUUCUCGAUCCUUCGAUUAUCCCAUGGUUGGAAUGGAUGAAGCGAUAGCAUCUACCAGAAGCUGAACUCUUCAAUUAAUGGUUGUGCUGCAGUGAUAGGGUUCUUCAGGGUUUCCUUCUUUGUGCUGUCAUUUUUUGGGUAUUGAAAUCUAGAGGUCCGUUUGAAGGUUGAAACAUGGGUUCAAGGAUGUUGGCCAAGAGAUUGAACAUCUGGAGGAAUGGAGUAAAAUCUAGGAUGGGCAGACGAACAUUAUUUUUUAUAGCCAUAAUUCUGGAUUAAUUGGACUAAAAAAGAAAAAGCUUUAUAGAUCACUUGACCAAGAUGAUUAUGCAUAUUGUGGGUAUGUCAAGGUAAAAUGAUUAUCAAAGUUUGACUAUUGAGUGUAUGACAAGGUAAAAUUGGGGUGCCGUAGGCAAGAGAAAGAGACUAAGAGAUUCCUAAUGAGUUUGAGAUUCUUCUCUUUUCAUUUCUUUAUUCUUAUUCAUAAACAUGGCCUGAUUUGUUUGAGUAAAUAUAAAGUUUUGGCCUUUUGUGUGGUAAUUUGCUUUUGAGUUUGUCAUGUAGCUUGGUUUCCGUCUAAUUUUUCAUCUGUAAUGGCUUCUCAUAAACUGGUUUGGAGUACAAUAGCAUUCAGUUGUUUUGGUCAA
Brassica oleracea var. oleracea is the source of this 1017-nucleotide long non-coding RNA. RefSeq lists it as uncharacterized. The transcript is spliced from 4 exons. The record is from RefSeq and is a predicted model, not a curated record. NCBI's taxonomy places the organism in Eukaryota, Viridiplantae, Streptophyta, Magnoliopsida, Brassicales, Brassicaceae.